GACGAACGCUGGCGGCGUGCCUAAUACAUGCAAGUCGAACGCACUCUCGUUUAGAUUGAAGGAGCUUGCUCCUGAUUGAUAAACAUUUGAGUGAGUGGCGGACGGGUGAGUAACACGUGGGUAACCUGCCCUAAAGUGGGGGAUAACAUUUGGAAACAGAUGCUAAUACCGCAUAAAACCUAAACACCGCAUGGUGUAGGGUUGAAAGAUGGUUUCGGCUAUCACUUUAGGAUGGACCCGCGGUGCAUUAGUUAGUUGGUGAGGUAAAGGCUCACCAAGACCGUGAUGCAUAGCCGACCUGAGAGGGUAAUCGGCCACACUGGGACUGAGACACGGCCCAGACUCCUACGGGAGGCAGCAGUAGGGAAUCUUCCACAAUGGACGAAAGUACUGAUGGAGCAACGACCGCGUGAGUGAAGAAGGUUUCGGAUCGUAAAACUCUAGUUGUUGGAGAAGAAUAGUAUCUGAUAGUAACUG
Molecule: ribosomal RNA, 477 nt
Filed under: uncultured bacterium
Lineage: Bacteria
Description: bacterial SSU rRNA
Rfam family: Bacterial small subunit ribosomal RNA
Source: RNAcentral